CCCCUCGUCGUUCAACGGAUAGGACGGUAGCUUGCGGAGCUACAAAUAGAGGUUCGAUUCCUCUCGAGGGGACAA
Molecule: transfer RNA, 75 nt
Filed under: Candidatus Levybacteria bacterium RIFCSPLOWO2_12_FULL_37_14
Lineage: Bacteria; Candidatus Levyibacteriota
Also listed under: 1 other name
Description: tRNA-Arg
Rfam family: tRNA
About the family: Transfer RNA (tRNA) molecules are approximately 80 nucleotides in length. Their secondary structure includes four short double-helical elements and three loops (D, anti-codon, and T loops). Further hydrogen bonds mediate the characteristic L-shaped molecular structure. tRNAs have two regions of fundamental functional importance: the anti-codon, which is responsible for specific mRNA codon recognition, and the 3' end, to which the tRNAs corresponding amino acid is attached (by aminoacyl-tRNA synthetases). tRNAs cope with the degeneracy of the genetic code in two manners: having more than one tRNA (with a specific anti-codon) for a particular amino acid; and 'wobble' base-pairing, i.e. permitting non-standard base-pairing at the 3rd anti-codon position.
Source: RNAcentral